ACGGCUCAGUAACACGUAGGUCAACCUACCCUAUGGACGGGGAUAACCUCGGGAAACUGAGAAUAAUACCCGAUAGAUUAUGAUACCUGGAAUGGUUUAUGGUUCAAAUGAUUUAUCGCCAUAGGAUGGGACUGCGGUCUAUCAGCUUGUUGGUGAGGUAAUGGCCCACCAAGGCUAUAACAGAUACGGGCUCUGAGAGGAGGGGCCCGGAGAUGGGUACUGAGACACGGACCCAGGUCCUAUGGGGCGCAGCAGGCGAGAAACCUUUGCAAUGUGCGAAAGCACGACAAGGUUAAUCCGAGUGAUUCCUGCUAAAGGAAUCUUUUGUUAGUCAUAAAACCACUGAUGAAUAAGGGGUGGGCAAGUUCUGGUGUCAGCCGCCGCGGUAAUACCAGCACCUCGAGUGGUCAGGAGGUUUAUUGGGCCUAAAGCAUCCGUAGCCGGCUGCUCAAGUUUCCGGUUAAAUCCACACGCUUAACGUAUGGGCUGCCGGAAAUACUGUACAGCUAGGGAGUGGGAGAGGUGGACGGUACUCGAUAGGAAGGGGUAAAAUCCUUUGAUCUAUUGAUGACCACCUGUGGCGAAGGCGGUCCACCAGAACACGUUCGACGGUGAGGGAUGAAAGCUGGGGGAGCAAACCGGAUUAGAUACCCGGGCAGUCCCAGCUGUAAACGAUGCCGACUCGGUGAUGCAUUGGCUUGUGGCCAGUGCAGUGCCGCAGGGAAGCCGUUAAGUUUGCCGCCUGGGAAGUACGUACGCAAGUAUGAAACUUAAAGGAAUUGACGGGGGAGCACCACAAGGGGUGAAGCCUGCGGUUCAAUUGGAUUCAACGCCGGGA
RNAcentral lists this ribosomal RNA (838 nucleotides) under uncultured archaeon. RNAcentral's name for it is "bacterial SSU rRNA". It matches the Rfam family "Archaeal small subunit ribosomal RNA", at positions 85 to 923 of the family's 1478-position model. The record is from RNAcentral.